GGGAAUCUUGCACAAUGGGGGAAACCCUGAUGCAGCGACGCCGCGUGAGCGAUGAAGCCCUUCGGGGUGUAAAGCUCUUUCGACGGGAACGAUAAUGACGGUACCCGGAGAAGAAGCUGCGGCUAACUACGUGCCAGCAGCCGCGGUAAUACGUAGGCAGCAAGCGUUGUUCGGAGUUACUGGGCGUAAAGAGUGUGUAGGCGGUUCGCUAAGUUUGGUGUGAAAUCUCCCGGCUUAACUGGGAGGGUGCGCCGAAUACUGGUGGGCUAGAGUGUGGGAGAGGGAAGCGGAAUUCCUGGUGUAGCGGUGAAAUGCGUAGAUAUCAGGAGGAACACCGGUGGUGUAGACGGCUUCCUGGACCACAACUGACGCUGAGACACGAAAGCGUGGGGAGCAAAC
Molecule: ribosomal RNA, 399 nt
Filed under: uncultured bacterium
Lineage: Bacteria
Description: bacterial SSU rRNA
Rfam family: Bacterial small subunit ribosomal RNA
Source: RNAcentral